This 653-nucleotide ribosomal RNA is filed under the name uncultured bacterium. RNAcentral's name for it is "bacterial SSU rRNA". It matches the Rfam family "Bacterial small subunit ribosomal RNA", at positions 202 to 842 of the family's 1533-position model. The record is from RNAcentral.
GAAAGAUGGUUCUGCUAUCACUCUUGGAUGGACCUGCGGUGCAUUAGCUAGUUGGUAAGGUAACGGCUUACCAAGGCAAUGAUGCAUAGCCGAGUUGAGAGACUGAUCGGCCACAUUGGGACUGAGACACGGCCCAAACUCCUACGGGAGGCAGCAGUAGGGAAUCUUCCACAAUGGACGAAAGUCUGAUGGAGCAACGCCGCGUGAGUGAAGAAGGGUUUCGGCUCGUAAAGCUCUGUUGGUAGUGAAGAAAGAUAGAGGUAGUAACUGGCCUUUAUUUGACGGUAAUUACUUAGAAAGUCACGGCUAACUACGUGCCAGCAGCCGCGGUAAUACGUAGGCGGCAAGCGUUGUCCGGAUUUAUUGGGCGUAAAGCGAGUGCAGGCGGUUCAAUAAGUCUGAUGUGAAAGCCUUCGGCUCAACCGGAGAAUUGCAUCAGAAACUGUUGAACUUGAGUGCAGAAGAGGAGAGUGGAACUCCAUGUGUAGCGGUGGAAUGCGUAGAUAUAUGGAAGAACACCAGUGGCGAAGGCGGCUCUCUGGUCUGCAACUGACGCUGAGGCUCGAAAGCAUGGGUAGCGAACAGGAUUAGAUACCCUGGUAGUCCAUGCCGUAAACGAUGAGUGCUAAGUGUUGGGAGGUUUCCGCCUCUCA